AUACUUACCUGGCAGGGGAGAUGCCAUAAUCACGAAGGUGGUUUUCCCAGGGCGAGGCUUAUCCAUUGCACUCUGGAUGUGCUGACCCCUGCGAUUUCCCCAACUGCAGGAAACUAGACUGCAUAAUUCGGGGUAGUGGGGGACUGCAUUCUCGCUGUCCCCUG
Molecule: small nuclear RNA, 164 nt
Organism: Cricetulus griseus (Chinese hamster)
Lineage: Eukaryota; Metazoa; Chordata; Mammalia; Rodentia; Cricetidae
Gene: U1
Rfam family: U1 spliceosomal RNA
About the family: U1 is a small nuclear RNA (snRNA) component of the spliceosome (involved in pre-mRNA splicing). Its 5' end forms complementary base pairs with the 5' splice junction, thus defining the 5' donor site of an intron. There are significant differences in sequence and secondary structure between metazoan and yeast U1 snRNAs, the latter being much longer (568 nucleotides as compared to 164 nucleotides in human).
Source: Ensembl